AUGAACGCUGGCGGCGUGCCUAAUACAUGCCAGUCGAGCGAACGGACGAGAAGCUUGCUUCUCUGAUGUUAGCGGCGGACGGGUGAGUAACACGUGGAUAACCUACCUAUAAGACUGGGAUAACUUCGGGAAACCGGAGCUAAUACCGGAUAAUAUUUUGAACCGCAUGGUUCAAAAGUAAAAGACGGUCUUGCUGUCACUUAUAGAUGGAUCCGCGCUGCAUUAGCUAGUUGGUAAGGUAACGGCUUACCAAGCCAACGAUGCAUAGCCGACCUGAGAGGGUGAUCGGCCACACUGGAACUGAGACACGGUCCAGACUCCUACGGGAGGCAGCAGUAGGGAAUCUUCCGCAAUGGGCGAAAGCCUGACGGAGCAACGCCGCGUGAGUGAUGAAGGUCUUCGGAUCGUAAAACUCUGUUAUUAGGGAAGAACAUAUGUGUAAGUAACUGUGCACAUCUUGACGGUACCUAAUCAGAAAGCCACGGCUAACUACGUG
This 496-nucleotide ribosomal RNA is filed under the name uncultured bacterium. RNAcentral's name for it is "partial 16S ribosomal RNA". It matches the Rfam family "Bacterial small subunit ribosomal RNA", at positions 29 to 507 of the family's 1533-position model. The record is from RNAcentral.